AGUUACAAAAUCUAGUUGGUAAAAUGUUAAAUUUAUAAAUUAAAUAUUUAUAAAUAUUUAAUUUAUAAAUUUUGUUAUAAUUG
Molecule: transfer RNA, 83 nt
Filed under: Euglena undulata
Lineage: Eukaryota; Euglenozoa; Euglenophyceae; Euglenales; Euglenaceae
Description: tRNA-Ile
Source: RNAcentral